GGACCCGCACAAGCAGCGGAGCAUGUGGUUUAAUUCGAAGCAACGCGAAGAACCUUACCAGGGCUUGACAUCCCUCUGACAGUCCCUUAACCGGGAUCUCCCUUCGGGGCAGAGGAGACAGGUGGUGCAUGGUUGUCGUCAGCUCGUGUCGUGAGAUGUUGGGUUAAGUCCCGCAACGAGCGCAACCCUUGUCAUUAGUUGCCAGCAGGUCAAGCUGGGCACUCUAGUGAGACUGCCGGGGAUAACUCGGAGGAAGGUGGGGAUGACGUCAAAUCAUCAUGCCCCUUAUGUUCUGGGCUACACACGUGCUACAAUGGCCGGUACAAAGAGAAGCAAACUCGUGAGUGUGAGCAAAACUCAAAAACCGGUCCCAGUUCGGAUUGCAGGCUGCAACUCGCCUGCAUGAAGUCGGAGUUGCUAGUAAUCGUGAAUCAGAAUGUCACGGUGAAUGCGUUCCCGGGUCUU
This 465-nucleotide ribosomal RNA is filed under the name uncultured bacterium. Its description in RNAcentral is "bacterial SSU rRNA". It matches the Rfam family "Bacterial small subunit ribosomal RNA", at positions 917 to 1382 of the family's 1533-position model. The record is from RNAcentral.